CUAUCCGGCUCGGGGAAUGGAGGGGAGACUGGAAUACUUGUGUAGCAGUGAAAUGCGUAGAUAUCAAGUGACACCAGUGCGAAGCGAGUCUCUGGACAUUUCUGACACUGAGGCACGAAGCUAGGGAGCAAACAGGAUUAGAUACCCUGGUAGUCCACGCCUUAAACGAUGGAUGUUCGGUGUCGGUCCGCAAGGAUCGGUGCCUGAGCUAACGCGUUAAACAUCCCACCUGGGGAGUACGAUCGCAAGGUUGAAACUCAAAGGAAUUGACGGGGGCCCGCACAAGCAGUGGAGCAUGUGGUUCAAUUCGAUGCAACGCGAAGAACCUUACCUGGGUUUGAAAGGCAAGUGACCGUCGAUGAAAGUCGAUCUGGUAGCAAUACCCACUUGUACAGGUGCUGCAUGGCUGUCGUCAGCUCGUGCCGUGAGGUGUUAGGUUAAGUCCUGCAACGAGCGCAACCCCUGCACUUAGUUGCCAUCAGGUAAUGCUGGGCACUCUAAGUGGACUGCCUACGCAAGUAGUGAGGAAGGCGGGGAUGACGUCAAGUCCUCAUGGCCCUUACACCCAGGGCCACACACGUGCUACAAUGGUUGGUACAAAGGGCUGCUAAGCCGCAAGGUGGAGCCAAUCCCAAAAAACCAACCUCAGUUCGGAUUGGGGUCUGCAACUCGACCCCAUGAAGCUGGAAUUGCUAGUAAUCGCGGAUCAGCACGCCGCGGUGAAUACGUUCCCGGGCCUUGUACACACCGCCCGUCAAGCCAUGGAAACUGGGGGUACCCGAAACCGCUAUGUUAACCGCAAGGAGACAGGCGUCUAAGGUAAAACCAGCGACUGGGCUAAGCGACAGGCCGUGUCGCCUAAAUUUUC
This 868-nucleotide ribosomal RNA is filed under the name uncultured soil bacterium. RNAcentral describes it as "SSU rRNA". It matches the Rfam family "Bacterial small subunit ribosomal RNA", at positions 633 to 1533 of the family's 1533-position model. The record is from RNAcentral.